GGAGGGUGCGAGCGUUGUUCGGAAUUAUUGGGCGUAAAGCGCGUGUAGGCGGCUCCUUAAGUCUGAUGUGAAAGCCCUGGGCUCAACCCGGGAAGAGCAUUGGAAACUGGGGAACUUGAAUACGGGAGAGGGCAGUGGAAUUCCUGGUGUAGGAGUGAAAUCCGUAGAUAUCAGGAGGAACACCGGUGGCGAAGGCGGCUGCCUGGACCGAUAUUGACGCUGAGACGCGAAAGCGUGGGGAGCAAACAGGAUUAGAUACCCUGGUAGUCCACGCCGUAAACGAUGAGUACUAGGUGUUGCGGGUAUUGACCCCUGCAGUGCCGCAGCUAACGCAUUAAGUACUCCGCCUGGGAAGUACGGUCGCAAGACUA
This 371-nucleotide ribosomal RNA is filed under the name uncultured bacterium. RNAcentral's name for it is "bacterial SSU rRNA". It matches the Rfam family "Bacterial small subunit ribosomal RNA", at positions 527 to 896 of the family's 1533-position model. The record is from RNAcentral.